GGCCUACCAUGGUGGUAACGGGUAACGGGGUGUUAGGGCACGACACCGGAGAGGGAGCCUGAGAAACGGCUACCACAUCCAAGGAAGGCAGCAGGCGCGCAAAUUACCCAAUCCCGACACGGGGAGGUAGUGACAAUAAAUAACAAUACAGGGUUCUUUUGGAUCUUGUAAUUGGAAUGAGUACAAUUUAAAUCUCUUAACGAGGAACAAUUGGAGGGCAAGUCUGGUGCCAGCAGCCGCGGUAAUUCCAGCUCCAAUAGCGUAUAUUAAAGUUGUUGCAGUUAAAAAGCUCGUAGUUGAAUUUCGGGAUCAAUAUUUCGGUCAUGCCGUUGGUAUGCACUGUUAUCAUUGAUUUCUCACCUUCUAAAGAACCAUAAUGCCAUUAAUUUGGUGUUACGGGGAAUUAGGACUGUUACCUUGAAAAAAUUAGAGUGUUUAAAGCAGGCUCACGCUUGAAUACAUUAGCAUGGAAUAAUGAAAUAGGACAUCCGAUUCUAUUUUGUUGGUUUCUAGGAUCGAUGUAAUGAUUAAUAGGGAUAGUUGGGGGCAUUAGUAUUCAAUUGUCAGAGGUGAAAUUCUUGGAUUUAUUGAAGACUAACUACUGCGAAAGCAUUUGCCAAGGAUGUUUUCAUUAAUCAAGAACGAAAGUUAGGGGAUCGAAGACGAUCAGAUACCGUCGUAGUCUUAACCAUAAACUAUGCCGACUAGGGAUCGGAUGAUGUUAAUUUUUUAAUGACUCAUUCGGCGCCNUUACG
RNAcentral lists this ribosomal RNA (755 nucleotides) under uncultured Glomus. RNAcentral's name for it is "SSU rRNA". It matches the Rfam family "Eukaryotic small subunit ribosomal RNA", at positions 338 to 1093 of the family's 1831-position model. The record is from RNAcentral. Lineage: Eukaryota; Fungi; Glomeromycota; Glomeromycetes; Glomerales; Glomeraceae.